UACGGAGGGGGUUAGCGUUGUUCGGAAUUACUGGGCGUAAAGCGCACGUAGGCGGCUUUGUAAGUUAGAGGUGAAAGCCCGGGGCUCAACUCCGGAAUUGCCUUUAAGACUGCAUCGCUAGAAUUGUGGAGAGGUAAGUGGAAUUCCGAGUGUAGAGGUGAAAUUCGUAGAUAUUCGGAAGAACACCAGUGGCGAAGGCGGCUCACUGGCCCGAUACUGACGCUGAGGUGCGAAAGCGUGGGGAGCAAACAGG
RNAcentral lists this ribosomal RNA (253 nucleotides) under uncultured bacterium. RNAcentral's name for it is "partial 16S ribosomal RNA". It matches the Rfam family "Bacterial small subunit ribosomal RNA", at positions 524 to 776 of the family's 1533-position model. The record is from RNAcentral.